AUCCGGAUUCACUGGGUUUAAAGGGUGCGUAGGUGGGUUUGUAAGUCAGUGGUGAAAUCUCCAGGCUUAACCUGGAAACUGCCAUUGAUACUAUAGAUCUUGAAUUUUCUGGAGGUAAGCGGAAUAUGUCAUGUAGCGGUGAAAUGCUUAGAUAUGACAUAGAACACCAAUUGCGAAGGCAGCUUGCUACAGGAAUAUUGACACUGAGGCACGAAAGCGUGGGGAUCAAACAGG
This 234-nucleotide ribosomal RNA is filed under the name uncultured bacterium. Its description in RNAcentral is "partial 16S ribosomal RNA". It matches the Rfam family "Bacterial small subunit ribosomal RNA", at positions 543 to 776 of the family's 1533-position model. The record is from RNAcentral.